RNAcentral lists this ribosomal RNA (712 nucleotides) under uncultured compost bacterium. RNAcentral's name for it is "partial 16S ribosomal RNA". The stretch from base 1 to 546 matches the Rfam family "Bacterial small subunit ribosomal RNA", at positions 365 to 1533 of the family's 1533-position model. The record is from RNAcentral.
UGGAUUGNCAUNGCGAGAGCCUGAUCCAGCCAUNCCGCGUGCAGGANGAAUGCCUUNUGGGUUGNAAACUGCUUUUAUACGGGAANAAACCACUUUACGUGUAAGGUGUUGAGGUACUGUAUGAAUAAGCAUCGGCUAACUCCGUGCCAGCAGCCGCGGUAAUACGGAGGAUGCAAGCGUUAUCCGGAUUUAUUGGGUUUAAAGGGUCCGUAGGCGGGCGUAUAAGUCAGGGGUGAAAUCCGACAGCUUAACUGUCGAACUGCCUUUGAAACUGUAUGUCUUGAGUGAGAUUGAAGCAGCUGGAAUGUGUAGUGUAGCGGUGAAAUGCAUAGAUAUUACACAGAACACCGAUAGCGUAGGCAGGUUGCUAAGUCUUUACUGACGCUGAUGGACGAAAGCGUGGGGAGCAAACAGGAUUAGAUACCCUGGUAGUCCACGCCGUAAACGUUGGAUACUGUCUAUUGGAAUUUUCAGUGGAUAAGCGAAAGUGAUAAGUAUCCCACCUGGGGGGUCUUCCAGAGAAAACCAAUAUCGGUCUCUUCUUUUUUUUUUUUAUUACUUUCCCAUAUCCUUUUCUUUUUUUCUUUCUCAUUUUUCUCUUCUCUUUUUCUUCUUCUCCUCUUCCUUAUUCAUCCUUAUUUUUUUUUCUCCUCUCUUUCUUCCUUUUUUCUUCUUUCCCCUUCUUUAUCUUCUUCUUUUUCUUUUUCUUCUC